Molecule: ribosomal RNA, 120 nt
Filed under: Oryza sativa Japonica Group (Japanese rice)
Lineage: Eukaryota; Viridiplantae; Streptophyta; Magnoliopsida; Poales; Poaceae
Source: RNAcentral
GGAUGCGAUCAUACCAGCACUAAAGCACCGGAUCCCAUCAGAACUCCGAAGUUAAGCGUGCUUGGGCGAGAGUAGUACUAGGAUGGGUGACCUCCUGGGAAGUCCUCGUUGUUGCAUCCC